Molecule: transfer RNA, 61 nt
Filed under: Olivierus martensii (Chinese scorpion)
Lineage: Eukaryota; Metazoa; Arthropoda; Arachnida; Scorpiones; Buthidae
Description: Mesobuthus martensii (Chinese scorpion) tRNA-Ala
Source: RNAcentral
GGAUAGGUAUUUAAAAGUAUAAUGUUUGAUUUGCGUUCAAAAGUUGAGUUUUCUCUAUCUU